CAUCUCCUAGUAUGCAACCUAGUUCAUGUGUGCCAGAUGUUUCUAGAACCAUAUAAACUGAGCUUUAUUUAUGUUCUGUUUAGAAUUCUGAGGCAUUAUUACACUCUUUGAUCUAUGUUGACCAAAGAAAAAUGUAUGUCUUCAAAUGAGUGCUCUGGAAAAGUCCUCAGUAACAAAUAGCUACAGAUUUCUUCUAUCCAAGGAGGACACCUAGAGGCUACUUUUGUGAUGUGAUCGCCAAUCCUGAAAUGCUUUCCAAAUUCUUUUCUUCACAGAUCCAAUCAUAAACCAUUCAUUGCAGAUCCAGUAAGUC
This 313-nucleotide long non-coding RNA is filed under the name Bos taurus (domestic cattle). Its description in RNAcentral is "long non-coding RNA NONBTAT008081". The record is from RNAcentral. Lineage: Eukaryota; Metazoa; Chordata; Mammalia; Artiodactyla; Bovidae.